UCUGUUUUUUUUUAAUCUUUUUUCAUCAUCUUCUGCAUUUAUGUUUUUUUGUAUAUCACCACCAUUCUUCACAAAAUUUGAAAAUCCCAUACCAACAUCCCCCACUUAAGUUGGAGGGUGGAGGCACAACCCCUAACUUGCCCAAAGUAGAUCGAUGGUUAAGACCAGAAAGAGGUUUUGUGAAUACAUCCGCAAUUUGAGCAAUUAAAGGAAUAAAAUACAAAGAAAUGAGCCCAACAAGGUAUUUUUGACGCACAAAGUGGCAAUCGAGGUCCAUAUAUUUGGUGCGCUCGUGAAAAAUCGAAUUGUUUGCUAUAUGGAUCACCGCUUAGCUAUCGGCAUGAAGCGGCACCUGACGGAAAGGAGGGACAGACAGAUCGCCAAGUAAACGAACAAGCCAAGUAAUCUCAGCAACUACACGACGCAUCGACCUGUACUCCGCUUCAGCCGAUGAAAGAGAUACCAAAAACUUCUUUUUGGACUUCCAAGAGACCGGAGAUCCUCCCAAAGUAAUAAAAUAGCCAUUGAUCGACCUCCGAAAUUCAGGGUAUGUCCCCCAAUCUGAGUCGCAAAAAGCUAGAAUAUGGAAAGAGGGCUCUGCAGACAGAAAGAUCCCCAUACCUGGGUCUGUGAGUAAAUAUUUGAGACAACGAAGAGCAACAUCAAAAUAUGGUUGUCGAGGAGAUUGCAUAUAUUGGCUUAAAUGUUGAACUACAAAGGAAAAAUCAGGUCGCGUGUGUGUGAGAAAAUUUAACUUGCCGAUGAGUUUUCUAUAAAUUAUGGGAUCUGUUAACAACAUAUCAUCAUCCAUCCGGAGCUUGCAACAAGUAUCAAGGGGAGAUGAUGCAUGUUUCAAAUUGAGACAACCAAAUUCAGCAAGUAAGUCGAGGUUAAGAAGGCAACUUCUCCAGGGUGUUGUGAGAUCUGGACCUCCCUUUCUCAUCCUGAUAAGAAGAGAGUAAGCAUGGUUCACAAAGGGUAGAGGUGAAAGCAUCAACAGAAUACUUCUUGGUCCAAAAUAGGAGUCAUUCAGUCCCAUAAGGAAUUGGAGAA
Molecule: long non-coding RNA, 1053 nt
Organism: Nicotiana tabacum (common tobacco)
Lineage: Eukaryota; Viridiplantae; Streptophyta; Magnoliopsida; Solanales; Solanaceae
Source: RefSeq, a predicted model, not a curated record